This 367-nucleotide long non-coding RNA is filed under the name Micromonas commoda. RNAcentral describes it as "long non-coding RNA (MCOM_LNC000144)". Lineage: Eukaryota; Viridiplantae; Chlorophyta; Mamiellophyceae; Mamiellales; Mamiellaceae. The record is from RNAcentral.
GCGGUGGCCACCACGCUUCGAAGAGCCGCGGGGGUGUACAAGCACGCGUCAACGCAGGUUCUCCCGUCCCUCGUCCCCGAGCUGGACGCGGAGAGGCCGAACGAGCUGCUGCCGUCCAUGGCCGAGUGCAUGUACUGCGUGUGCCUCGCCGAGGCGCAGGCGGCGACGGCGAGACGCGCGGAGGAGCGGGGCACAAACGGGGAUCUCGUCGCCAAGCUCCACCUCGGCGCGCACGACCUGUACAAGCGCGCGGAUGCGAUCCUCAACGAGAAUAUCCGAGACUUUAACCGCAUAAGCCGCAAGCUGCAGGCGUACAUCCUGCUCGGCGCGAGCGUCCACAGGGCGAGGGCGUACAGGUGCGCCGCGG